RNAcentral lists this ribosomal RNA (492 nucleotides) under uncultured bacterium. Its description in RNAcentral is "partial 16S ribosomal RNA". It matches the Rfam family "Bacterial small subunit ribosomal RNA", at positions 29 to 507 of the family's 1533-position model. The record is from RNAcentral.
AGUGAACGCUGGCGGUAGGCCUAACACAUGCCAGUCGAACGGCAGCACAGUAAGAGCUUGCUCUUACGGGUGGCGAGUGGCGGACGGGUGAGGAAUACAUCGGAAUCUACUUUUUCGUGGGGGAUAACGUAGGGAAACUUACGCUAAUACCGCAUACGACCUACGGGUUAAAGCAGGGGAUCUUCGGACCUUGCGCGAUUGAAUGAGCCGAUUUCGGAUUAGCUAGUUGGCGGGGUAAGGGCCCACCAAGGCGACGAUCCGUAGCUGGUCUGAGAGGAUGAUCAGCCACACUGGAACUGAGACACGGUCCAGACUCCUACGGGAGGCAGCAGUGGGGAAUAUUGGACAAUGGGCGCAAGCCUGAUCCAGCCAUACCGCGUGGGUGAAGAAGGCCUUCGGGUUGUAAAGCCCUUUUGUUGGGAAAGAAAAGCAGCAGGUUAAUACCCCGCUGUUCUGACGGUACCCAAAGAAUAAGCACCGGCUAACUUCGUG